RNAcentral lists this ribosomal RNA (796 nucleotides) under uncultured Methanosarcina sp. RNAcentral describes it as "SSU rRNA". It matches the Rfam family "Archaeal small subunit ribosomal RNA", at positions 85 to 879 of the family's 1478-position model. The record is from RNAcentral. Lineage: Archaea; Methanobacteriati; Methanobacteriota; Methanomicrobia; Methanosarcinales; Methanosarcinaceae.
ACUGCUCAGUAACACGUGGAUAACCUGCCCUUGGGUCCGGCAUAACUCCGGGAAACUGGAGAUAAUUCCGGAUAACGCAUAUAUGCUGGAAUGCUUUAUGCGUAAAAUGGAUUCGUCUGCCCAAGGAUGGGUCUGCGGCCUAUCAGGUAGUAGUGGGUGUAAUGUACCUACUAGCCUACGACGGGUACGGGUUGUGAGAGCAAGAGCCCGGAGAUGGAUUCUGAGACAUGAAUCCAGGCCCUACGGGGCGCAGCAGGCGCGAAAACUUUACAAUGCGGGAAACCGUGAUAAGGGGACACCGAGUGCCAGCAUCAUAUGCUGGCUGUCCAGGUGUGUAAAAUACACCUGUUAGCAAGGGCCGGGCAAGACCGGUGCCAGCCGCCGCGGUAACACCGGCGGCCCGAGUGGUGAUCGUGAUUAUUGGGUCUAAAGGGUCCGUAGCCGGUUUGGUCAGUCCUCCGGGAAAUCUGAUAGCUCAACUAUUAGGCUUUCGGAGGAUACUGCCAGACUUGGAACCGGGAGAGGUAAGAGGUACUACAGGGGUAGGAGUGAAAUCUUGUAAUCCCUGUGAGACCACCUGUGGCGAAGGCGUCUUACCAGAACGGGUUCGACGGUGAGGGACGAAAGCUGGGGGCACGAACCGGAUUAGAUACCCGGGUAGUCCCAGCCGUAAACGAUGCUCGCUAGGUGUCAGGCAUGGCGCGACCGUGUCUGGUGCCGCAGGGAAGCCGUGAAGCGAGCCACCUGGGAAGUACGGCCGCAAGGCUGAAACUUAAAGGAAUUGGCGGGGGAGCAC